UACGAAGGGGGCUAGCGUUGCUCGGAAUUACUGGACGUAAAGCGCACGUAGGCGGUCUUUUAAGUCGGGGGUGAAAUCCUGGAGCUCAACUCCAGAACUGCCUUCGAUACUGGAAGACUUGAGUCCGGGAGAGGUGAGUGGAACUGCGAGUGUAGAGGUGAAAUUCGUAGAUAUUCGCAAGAACACCAAUGGCGAAGGCAGCUUGCUGGGCCACACCUGACACUAAGGCACGAAAGCGUGGGGAGCGAACAGG
RNAcentral lists this ribosomal RNA (253 nucleotides) under uncultured bacterium. RNAcentral's name for it is "partial 16S ribosomal RNA". It matches the Rfam family "Bacterial small subunit ribosomal RNA", at positions 524 to 776 of the family's 1533-position model. The record is from RNAcentral.